GGCAGUGGGCAUUUGGACUAUGGAGUUCUUUAUUUGGGGUUUCAGAUCAGAGGGAACUGAAUGAAGACCUGAAGCCAGAGGCACCAUCCUCCCUACCCCAAGACUGGAGUUCUCUUGGAUCCCUUGUUUAAGGCCUUAGUCCUACAUUGUAUGCAGAGGAAUGGACUAGACAUCUGAAGCGGCUUUGUCCUUUGCUUCUACAUGUCUGCUUUCUUCAGCCUCCAGCCAGCACAAAGGUGGAAGAUGGAAUGAAUCUGACUCCACUUCCGAGAAUGGGCUUGUGGGCUUCCUCUCAAGAGUGCUCCUCUCUGACUCCUGGCAAUAUUCCAAACUGACUCUGACUGAUUCACUGAAGCACUUUUUAUGCUUGGUGUAAAAGAUUCACUCCUCCUCUGAGAGUGGGAUUAUGGAUUUCUGACUUGGGAAUCACAUACUGAAUACUGACUUGUGAAUCUCUCAAAAGUGUGAACUCCAAUGAGUACUUAAAUAUAUUAGUGAACUAGAGGAUUUGCUAAAUACCAUGCUAAAUUAGGCA
Sarcophilus harrisii (Tasmanian devil) is the source of this 535-nucleotide long non-coding RNA. RefSeq lists it as uncharacterized. The record is from RefSeq and is a predicted model, not a curated record. The transcript is spliced from 3 exons. Lineage: Eukaryota; Metazoa; Chordata; Mammalia; Dasyuromorphia; Dasyuridae.